UACGGAGGAUGCAAGCGUUAUCCGGAUUUAUUGGGUUUAAAGGGUGCGCAGGCGGGAGAUUAAGUCGGCGGUGAAAUUUUGCAGCUCAACUGUAAAAGUGCCUUCGAAACUGGUUUCCUUGAGUGUAGAUGAAGUAGGCGGAAUUUGUGGUGUAGCGGUGAAAUGCAUAGAGAUCACACAGAAUAUCGAUUGCGAAGGCAGCUCACAAAGCCAAGAUUGACGCUGAGGCACGAAAGUGUGGGGAUCAAACAGGAUUA
Molecule: ribosomal RNA, 257 nt
Filed under: uncultured prokaryote
Description: partial 16S ribosomal RNA
Rfam family: Bacterial small subunit ribosomal RNA
Source: RNAcentral